ACGCUCGACACCUACGGAGGCAGCAGUAGGGAAUCUUCCACAAUGGGCGCAAGCCUGAUGGAGCAACACCGCGUGAGUGAAGAAGGGUUUCGGCUCGUAAAGCUCUGUUGUUGGAGAAGAACGUGCGUGAGAGUAACUGUUCACGCAGUGACGGUAUCCAACCAGAAAGUCACGGCUAACUACGUGCCAUCAGCCGCGGUAAUCUGAGCGGGCUGGCAAGGC
RNAcentral lists this ribosomal RNA (222 nucleotides) under uncultured bacterium. Its description in RNAcentral is "partial 16S ribosomal RNA". It matches the Rfam family "Bacterial small subunit ribosomal RNA", at positions 328 to 539 of the family's 1533-position model. The record is from RNAcentral.